UUUUGGUCAAAAAAGGAACUAAGAGCUAAGAGAGAAGAGGGGAAAGAGGAGAGCAAGAAUAUGAAUAUGCAAAGCCCAGGCAGAGGGACCAGGGUGGAGAAUACAGCAAACCUAGGAAGGAGCAUGGGGUGAAGAACCCUAGUCACCCACACACUCACCUAUCCGUUCAUUCAUUCAUUGAGUGUGUAUUCAUUCAGGACACUUAGUGGGAACAGUGUGGCUUUCUCAUCUGUAAACACACUAUGUCCCAGUUGAUCUGCAAGGACCAUGAAGUCCUUCUGUUGCCCUCUGGGAGACUAGGCAGGAGGUGUGCUCCUGUCC
RNAcentral lists this long non-coding RNA (321 nucleotides) under Homo sapiens (human). RNAcentral's name for it is "HSALNT0181331". Lineage: Eukaryota; Metazoa; Chordata; Mammalia; Primates; Hominidae. The record is from RNAcentral.